UACGGAGGGGGCGAGCGUUAUUCGGAAUUAUUGGGCGUAAAGGGCGCGUAGGCGGCUCGAUAAGUCAAAGGUGAAAUCCCUCGGCUCAACUGAGGAACUGCCUUUGAAACUGUAGAGCUUGAGUCCGGGAGGGGGUAGCGGAAUUCCCAGUGUAGCGGUGAAAUGCGUAGAUAUUGGGAGGAACACCAGUGGCGAAGGCGGCUACCUGGACCGGAACUGACGCUGAGGCGCGAAAGCGUGGGGAGCAAACAGG
This 253-nucleotide ribosomal RNA is filed under the name uncultured bacterium. RNAcentral's name for it is "partial 16S ribosomal RNA". It matches the Rfam family "Bacterial small subunit ribosomal RNA", at positions 524 to 776 of the family's 1533-position model. The record is from RNAcentral.